GUCCACGCCGUAAACGUUGGGCACUAGGUGUGGGUUCCUAUCGACGGGAUCCGUGCCGUAGCUAACGCAUUAAGUGCCCCGCCUGGGGAGUACGGCCGCAAGGCUAAAACUCAAAGGAAUUGACGGGGGCCCGCACAAGCAGCGGAGCAUGUUGCUUAAUUCGAGGCAACGCGAAGAACCUUACCUGGGCUUGACAUGUAGGGAAAAGCCGUAGAGAUACGGUGUCCUUUUGGGCCCUACACAGGUGGUGCAUGGCUGUCGU
RNAcentral lists this ribosomal RNA (262 nucleotides) under uncultured bacterium. Its description in RNAcentral is "partial 16S ribosomal RNA". It matches the Rfam family "Bacterial small subunit ribosomal RNA", at positions 793 to 1055 of the family's 1533-position model. The record is from RNAcentral.